Molecule: ribosomal RNA, 765 nt
Filed under: uncultured Xanthomonas sp.
Lineage: Bacteria; Pseudomonadati; Pseudomonadota; Gammaproteobacteria; Lysobacterales; Lysobacteraceae
Description: bacterial SSU rRNA
Rfam family: Bacterial small subunit ribosomal RNA
Source: RNAcentral
GCGGAAUUGAUUAGUUGAUCCUGGCUCAGAUUGAACGCUGGCGGCAGGCCUAACACAUGCAAGUCGAGCGGUAACAGGGGAAGCUUGCUUCCCGCUGACGAGCGGCGGACGGGUGAGUAAUAUAUGGGGACUGCCGAUAGAGGGGGAUAACUACUGGAAACGGUGGCUAAUACCGCAUAAUCUCUAAGGAGCAAAGCAGGGGAACUUCGGUCCUUGCGCUAUCGGAUGAACCCAUAUGGGAUUAGCUAGUAGGUGGGUAAGGCUCACCUAGGCGACGAUCCCUAGCUGGUCUGAGAGGAUGAUCAGCCACACUGGAACUGAGACACGGUCCAGACUCCUACGGGAGGCAGCAGUGGGGAAUAUUGGACAAUGGGCGCAAGCCUGUCAGCCAUACCGCGUGGGUGAAGAAGGCCUUCGGGUUGUAAAGCCCUUUUGUUGGGAAAGAAAUCCAGCUGGCUAAUACCCGGUUGGGAUGACGGUACCCAAAGAAUAAGCACCGGCUAACUUCGUGCGCAGCCGCGGUAAUACGAAGGGUGCAAGCGUUACUCGGAAUUACUGGGCGUAAAGCGUGCGUAGGUGGUCGUUUAAGUCCGUUGUGAAAGCCCUGGGCUCAACCUGGGAACUGCAGUGGAUACUGGGACUAGAGUGUGGUAGAGGGUAGCGGAAUUCCUGGUGUAGCAGUGAAAUGCGUAGAGAUCAGGAGGAACAUCCAUGGCGAAGGCAGCUACCUGGACCAACACUGACACUGAGCACGAAAGGCCUGGC